This 799-nucleotide long non-coding RNA is filed under the name Macaca fascicularis (crab-eating macaque). Its description in RNAcentral is "lncRNA (ENSMFAG00000046889.2)". The record is from RNAcentral. Lineage: Eukaryota; Metazoa; Chordata; Mammalia; Primates; Cercopithecidae.
GUAAUCUAUCUCAGAAUCAAAAAGCUCUGGAGACAGAGACAGCGUCUUCUCCGAGCCUUUAUCUCUUACCACCAUCAUUUUCUCAGCUGGGAGCAGGCGACGACCCUGCUUCCAAUAUGCUGCUCAAUGAUUUUAGAUGAUUGAUCUUUCUAAAGUGCUUUUCCGUUUCUUGCCACACAGACGCGGAGAGAUUAAGCAAUUAUGGAUUAUUUCAACAUCAGAUGGCCCAAGACAAUUAGUCAGAGGAGAAGCAAAGAAGUGGCCCUGCUGGCUUUUGGUGAAGGGGAAUUUUCAGGCGGAGUUCAAGUUCAAACUUGAACACUUGUACAAAGACUCCUUGGAUGAUCUGCUUGUGAUAUUGGAGCAUUUCCUCCUUGCUGGCUGACACAAUGGCAAGCUUUGUCAGUGAAGAGUGCCGAAGAGACACUGCAGGAGGAAGGGGCUUCUCUCCCAGUUCCAGGGUAAGUUUCUUCCCGCUGGCUUACGUGUCACUCAGCUGUUGUACAGGACACUCAGUGAAGCUCACCCCCAGCAAGUUUUGGUGGCACUUCUGUAGGCACUUUACCUGUGAGUUGUAUGGAUACUCCUUUUUCCUUCCUUUCAUGUGAUGAGUUCAGCAGCAGCCCCCACAGGUGGCUUCCAGGACACUCUUGGGAACAUUCCAGUGAGAAGAGUCUUGCCUACCAUGCAUGGCCACUGGCACUCUGGUGUGAGUUUUCCUGCUUGCCACUUCUCUCCUGCACAUCCCUGACCACCAAUUUGCACAGUAACUGUGGACCCACCUCUGGCUCAGGGCAAC